RNAcentral lists this small RNA (48 nucleotides) under Arabidopsis thaliana (thale cress). Its description in RNAcentral is "ATSL146990". Lineage: Eukaryota; Viridiplantae; Streptophyta; Magnoliopsida; Brassicales; Brassicaceae. The record is from RNAcentral.
CAUUAAAGGAGUAGAGGACGGUUUGUUCCAUGGUAGUGAUGUUAGUGU